CAAGUCACGGGGGCCCGCAAGGGCAACCGGCGAACGGGUGCGUAACACGUGACCAACCUGCCCUUGUGUGGGGGAUAGCCGGGCUAACGCCCGGGUAAUACCGCAUACGAUCCUUUGGGGGAGUCCCUGGGGGAAGAAAGCUCUGGCGCACGAGGAGGGGGUCGCGGCCUAUCAGCUAGUUGGCGAGGUAAUGGCUCACCAAGGCGACGACGGGUAGCUGGUCUGAGAGGAUGGCCAGCCACAUUGGGACUGAGAAACGGCCCAGACUCCUACGGGAGGCAGCAGUGGGGAAUCUUGCGCAAUGGCCGAAAGGCUGACGCAGCGACGCCGCGUGUGGGAGGACGCCUUUCGGGGUGUAAACCACUGUUGCCCGGGACGAACAGCAUCUUUCGAGGUGCCUGACGGUACCGGGUGAGGAAGCACCGGCUAACUCCGUGCCAGCAGCCGCGGUAAUACGGAGGGUGCGAGCGUUGUCCGGAAUCAUUGGGCGUAAAGGGCGCGUAGGUGGCCCGGUCAGUUCGUGGUGAAAGCGCGGGGCUCAACUCCGCGUCGGCCAUGAAUACUGCUGGGCUUGAGCACUGUAGAGGCAGGCGGAAUUCCGGGUGUAGCGGUGGAAUGCGUAGAGAUCCGGAAGAACACCGGUGGCGAAGGCGGCCUGCUGGGCAGUGGCUGACACUGAGGCGCGACAGCGUGGGGAGCAAACAGGAUUAGAUACCCUGGUAGUCCACGCCGUAAACGAUGGGCACUAGGCGCUUGGGGGAGCGACCCUCCGAGGGCCGGCGCUAACGCAUUAAGUGCCCCGCCUGGGGAGUACGGCCGCAAGGCUGAAACCCAAAGGAAUUGACGGGGGCCCGCACAAGCGGUGGAGCAUGUGGUUUAAUUCGACGCACCGCGAAGAACCUUACCUAGGCUUGACAUGCACGGGAAACCUUUCAAAA
RNAcentral lists this ribosomal RNA (938 nucleotides) under uncultured Gemmatimonadota bacterium. Its description in RNAcentral is "bacterial SSU rRNA". It matches the Rfam family "Bacterial small subunit ribosomal RNA", at positions 58 to 1006 of the family's 1533-position model. The record is from RNAcentral. Lineage: Bacteria; Pseudomonadati; Gemmatimonadota.